RNAcentral lists this ribosomal RNA (209 nucleotides) under uncultured bacterium. RNAcentral describes it as "partial 16S ribosomal RNA". It matches the Rfam family "Bacterial small subunit ribosomal RNA", at positions 1292 to 1500 of the family's 1533-position model. The record is from RNAcentral.
UUCGGAUUGUAGUCUGCAACCCGACUACAUGAAGCCGGAAUCGCUAGUAAUCGCAGAUCAGCAUGCUGCGGUGAAUACGUUCCCGGGUCUUGUACACACCGCCCGUCACACCAUGGGAGUCGGAAAUGCCCGAAGUCGGUGACCCAACCGGAAGGAGGGAGCCGCCGAAGGCAGGUCUGAUAACUGGGGUGAAGUCGUAACAAGGUACC